This 545-nucleotide ribosomal RNA is filed under the name uncultured bacterium. RNAcentral's name for it is "bacterial SSU rRNA". It matches the Rfam family "Bacterial small subunit ribosomal RNA", at positions 777 to 1320 of the family's 1533-position model. The record is from RNAcentral.
AAUAGAUACCCGGGUAGUCCACGCCGUAAACGAUGAGUGCUAAGUGUUAGAAGGUUUCCGCCCUUUAGUGCUGAAGUUAACGCAUUAAGCACUCCGCCUGGGGAGUACGGCCGCAAGGCUGAAACUCAAAGGAAUUGACGGGGGCCCGCACAAGCGGUGGAGCAUGUGGUUUAAUUCGAAGCAACGCGAAGAACCUUACCAGGUCUUGACAUCCCGCUGACCGGUCUAGAGAUAGACUUUUCCCUUCGGGGACAGCGGUGACAGGUGGUGCAUGGUUGUCGUCAGCUCGUGUCGUGAGAUGUUGGGUUAAGUCCCGCAACGAGCGCAACCCUUGAUCUUAGUUGCCAGCAUUCAGUUGGGCACUCUAAGGUGACUGCCGGUGAUAAACCGGAGGAAGGUGGGGAUGACGUCAAAUCAUCAUGCCCCUUAUGACCUGGGCUACACACGUGCUACAAUGGACGGUACAGAGGGUCGCAACCCCGCGAGGGUGAGCUAAUCCCAUAAAACCGUUCUCAGUUCGGAUUGUAGGCUGCAACUCGCCUACA